UACCGAUCGUUUUGCAUUUAAGGAGUCUUUAAGCUUUCCCCGGUAUUACUGGCGGCGUCCAUCUUCUGGACAUCGAGUGGCUCCUGUCCACUCUGUUUGACGCCCUCCCUGUUAUCCACUUGAGCCGCCGGCAACGGCGGCUCUUUUUUG
RNAcentral lists this small RNA (150 nucleotides) under metagenome. Its description in RNAcentral is "sequence Alphaproteobacterial sRNA BjrC1505". It matches the Rfam family "Alphaproteobacterial sRNA BjrC1505". The record is from Rfam by way of RNAcentral.